Molecule: long non-coding RNA, 201 nt
Filed under: Elaeis guineensis (African oil palm)
Lineage: Eukaryota; Viridiplantae; Streptophyta; Magnoliopsida; Arecales; Arecaceae
Description: long non-coding RNA (EGUI_LNC028112)
Source: RNAcentral
AGUGUGGAGACACUGGUAUGGCAUACAGGUGAGAUGUAAGGGUACAUCAUCAUUGAAUGUGACUAACUCCAGAGCAUUCUGCUGUCGAGAAUAUCUCUGAUAAGAUAUAGGUAUAAGUGUCCCUUAGACCUGAGAUCGCCUCAGUGACUUGCAAGCAACUCACUGUGCUUUGGUACUGGACUAACUGAAUUUUUAAUUCAG